This 433-nucleotide ribosomal RNA is filed under the name uncultured bacterium. RNAcentral's name for it is "partial 16S ribosomal RNA". It matches the Rfam family "Bacterial small subunit ribosomal RNA", at positions 29 to 507 of the family's 1533-position model. The record is from RNAcentral.
AACGAACGCUGGCGGCAUGCCUAACACAUGCAAGUCGAACGAAACCUUCGGGCCUUGUGGCGCACGGCUGCGUAACGCGUGGGAACCUGCCCUUAGGUUCGCAAUACCUCUCCGAAAGGGGUCCUAAUACCGGAUAAUGUCUUCCGACCAAAGAUUUAUCGCCUUUGGAUGGGCCCGCGUUGGAUUAGCUUGUUGGUAGGGUAAAAGCCUACCAAGGGGAGGAUCCAUAGCUGGUUUGAGAGGAUGAUCAGCAACACUGGAGCUAAGACACGGCCCAGACUCCUACGGGAGGGAGCAGUGGGGAAUAUUGGACAAUGGGGGAUAGGCUGAUCCAGCAAUGCCGGGUGAGUGAUGAAGGCCGUAGGGUAGUAAAGCUCUUUUACACGGGAUGAUAAUGACGGUACCGGGAGAAUAAGCACCGGCUAACUCCGUG